RNAcentral lists this transfer RNA (74 nucleotides) under Planctomycetales bacterium. RNAcentral's name for it is "tRNA-Val". It matches the Rfam family "tRNA". From Rfam's summary of the family: Transfer RNA (tRNA) molecules are approximately 80 nucleotides in length. Their secondary structure includes four short double-helical elements and three loops (D, anti-codon, and T loops). The record is from RNAcentral. Lineage: Bacteria; Pseudomonadati; Planctomycetota; Planctomycetia; Planctomycetales.
GGGCGGUUAGCUCAGUUGGUUAGAAUGUCUGGUUUACACCCAGAAGGUCGGGGGUUCGAGCCCCUCACCGCCCA